RNAcentral lists this long non-coding RNA (954 nucleotides) under Parus major (Great Tit). RNAcentral describes it as "lncRNA (ENSPMJG00000004083.1)". Lineage: Eukaryota; Metazoa; Chordata; Aves; Passeriformes; Paridae. The record is from RNAcentral.
AUGUCCACCAGUGUCACCGUGUCCGGGGGUGUCACCGUGUCCGGGGGUGUCACCGUGUCCAGAGGUGUCACCGUGUCCGGGGGUGUCACCAUGUCUGGUGUCACCGUGUCCAGAGGUGUCACCGUGUCCGGGGGUGUCACCAUGUCCGGGGGUGUCACCGUGUCCAGUGUCACCGUGUCCAGUGUCACCGUGUCCAGUGUCACCGUGUCCUGUGUCACCAUGUCUGGUGUCACCAUGUCCGGGGGUGUCACCACAUCCGGGGGUGUCACCGUGUCCAGAGGUGUCACCGUGUCCAGUGUCACAGUGUCCAGUGUCACCACAUCCGGGGGUGUCACCGUGUCCAGAGGUGUCACCGAGUCUGGCGGUGUCACCGUGUCCUGUGUCACCGAGUCUGGCGGUGUCACCAUGUCCUGUGUCACCGAGUCUGGCGGUGUCACCGUGUCCUGUGUCACCAUGUCUGGCAGUGUCACUGUGUCUGGUGUCACCGUGUCUGGUGUCACCGUGUCUGGUGUCACCGUGUCCGGGGGUGUCACCGAGUCUCCAAGUCAUGAAGGGGCCGGGGGGUGGCUGGGCCCACUCGGGGACACCGGGGACAGUGGGGACACCACUGGGGACACCACUGGAGACACUGCUGGGGACAUUGGGGACACUGGGGACACUGCUGGGGACACUGCUGGGGACACUGGGGACAGUGGGGACACCGCUGGGGACACUGCUGGGGACACUGGGGACACUGGGGAUGGUGCUGUGGCAGUUGGGGACACUCUUGGUGACACUGGGGACAUUGUUGGUGACACUGAGAACACUGUUGGUGACACUGGGGACACUGAGGACACUCUUGGUGACACUGUUGGUGACACUGUUGGGGACACUGUUGGGGACGUUGUUGUUGUUGCCGGUGGCAUCGGCCGCCCCCAGCGAGAGCAGCAGCUGCCGGUGAGAGACUUCCAGAGC